This 440-nucleotide ribosomal RNA is filed under the name uncultured bacterium. RNAcentral's name for it is "partial 16S ribosomal RNA". It matches the Rfam family "Bacterial small subunit ribosomal RNA", at positions 338 to 795 of the family's 1533-position model. The record is from RNAcentral.
CCUACGGUGUGCUGCAGUGGGGAAUAUUGCACAAUGGGGGAAACCCUGAUGCAGCGACGCCGCGUGAGUGAAGAAGUAAUUCGUUACGUAAAGCUCUAUCAGCAGGGAAGAAAAUGACGGUACCUGAGUAAGAAGCCCCGGCUAACUACUUGCCAGCAGCCGCGAGAAUACGUAGGGGGCAAGCUUUAUCCGGAUUUACUGGGUGUAAAGGGAGCGUAGACGGUUCGCCAAGUCUGGAGUGAAAUGCCGCAGCUUAACUGCGGAACUGCUUUGGAAACUGGCGAACUAGAGGGCGGGAGGGGUAAGCGGAAUUCCUAGUGUAGCGGUGAAAGGCGUAGAGAUUAGGAGGAACACAGGUGGCGAAGGCGGCUUACUGGACCGUGACUGACGUUGAGGCUCGAAAGCGUGGGGAGCAAACAGGAUGAGAUACCCGAGUAGUC